Molecule: ribosomal RNA, 253 nt
Filed under: uncultured bacterium
Lineage: Bacteria
Description: partial 16S ribosomal RNA
Rfam family: Bacterial small subunit ribosomal RNA
Source: RNAcentral
UACGGAGGGGGCGAGCGUUAUUCGGAAUUAUUGGGCGUAAAGGGCGCGUAGGCGGCUGUACAAGUCAAAGGUGAAAUCCCUCGGCUCAACUGAGGAACUGCCUUUGAAACUGUACGGCUUGAGGCCGGGAGGGGGUAGCGGAAUUCCCAGUGUAGCGGUGAAAUGCGUAGAUAUUGGGAGGAACACCGGUGGCGAAGGCGGCCCCCUGGACCGGUACUGACGCUGAGGCGCGAAAGCGUGGGUAGCAAACGGG